UGGGGAAUUUUGGACAAUGGGGGAAACCCUGAUCCAGCCAUCCCGCGUGUGCGAUGAAGGCCUUCGGGUUGUAAAGCACUUUUGGCAGGAAAGAAACGUCAUGGGUUAAUACCCCGUGAAACUGACGGUACCUGCAGAAUAAGCACCGGCUAACUACGUGCCAGCAGCCGCGGUAAUACGUAGGGUGCAAGCGUUAAUUGGAAUUACUGGGCGUAAAGCGUGCGCAGGCGGUUCGGAAAGAAAGAUGUGAAAUCCCAGAGCUUAACUUUGGAACUGCAUUUUUAACUACCGGGCUAGAGUGUGUCAGAGGGAGGUGGAAUUCCGCGUGUAGCAGUGAAAUGCGUAGAUAUGCGGAGGAACACCGAUGGCGAAGGCAGCCUCCUGGGAUAACACUGACGCUCAUGCACGAAAGCGUGGGGAGCAAACA
Molecule: ribosomal RNA, 427 nt
Filed under: uncultured bacterium
Lineage: Bacteria
Description: partial 16S ribosomal RNA
Rfam family: Bacterial small subunit ribosomal RNA
Source: RNAcentral